GAGUAGUGUUAGUGUGUGUUAGUCACCAGGCCUUAGUGGUACCAGCCAGAGUAGUGUUAGUGUGUGUUAGUCACCAGGCCUUAGUGGUACCAGCCAGAGUAGUGUUAGUGUGUGUUAGUCACCAGGCCUUAGUGGUACCAGCCAGAGUAGUGUUAGUUACCAGGCCUUAGUGGUACCAGCCAGAGUAGUGUUAGUCACCAGGCCUUAGUGGUACCAGCCAGAGUAGUGUUAGUGUGUGUUAGUCACCAGGCCUUAGUGGUACCAGCCAGAGUAGUGUUAGUUACCAGGCCUUAGUGGUACCAGCCAGAGUAGUGUUGGUGUGUGUUAGUCACCAGGCCUUAGUGGUACCAGCCAGAGUAGUGUUAGUCACCAGGCCUUAGUGGUACCAGCCAGAGUAGUGUUAGUCACCAGGCCUUAGUGGUACCAGCCAGAGUAGUGUUAGUGUGUGUUAGUCACCAGGCCUUAGUGGUACCGGCCAGAGUAGUGUUAGUGUGUGUUAGUCACCAGGCCUUAGUGGUACCGGCCAGAGUAGUGUUAGUCACCAGGCCUUAGUGGUACCAGCCAGAGUAGUGUUAGUGUGUGUUAGUCACCAGGCCUUAGUGGUACCAGCCAGAGUAGUGUUAGUUACCGGGCCUUAGUGGUACCAGCCAGAGUAGUGUUAGUGUGUGUUAGUCACCAGGCCUUAGUGGUACCGGCCAGAGUAGUGUUAGUGUGUGUUAGUCACCAGGCCUUAGUGGUACCAGCCAGAGUAGUGUUAGUGUGUGUUAGUUACCGGGCCUUAGUGGUACCAGCCAGAGUAGUGUUAGUGUGUGUUAGUCACCAGGCCUUAGUGGUACCGGCCAGAGUAGUGUUAGUUACCAGGCCUUAGUGGUACCAGCCAGAUGUGUGUUAGUUACCGGGCCUUAGUGGUACCAGCCAGAGUAGUGUUAGUCACCAGGCCUUAGUGGUACCAGCCAGAGUAGUGUUGGUGUGAAUUAGUUACCGGGCCUUAGUGGUACCAGCCAGAGUAGUGUUGGUGUGAAUUAGUUACCGGGCCUUAGUGGUACCAGCCAGAGUAGUGUUGGUGUGAAUUAGUUACCGGGCCUUAGUGGUACCGGCCAGAGUAGUGAUGGUAUGUAUGAAUUACCGGGCCUUAGUGGUACCGGCCAGAGUAGCGUUGGCUCCUCUCCAGAUGAGAAUCUCCAGACCCGUAUCCACCAGGAAGACAAACCUACAGGAACACAGAGCAUUAGAACUACAGAACUACAGGAACACAGCAUUAGAACUACAGAACUACAGGAACACAGAGCAUUAGAACUACAGAAACACAGAGCAUUAGAACUACAGGAACACAGAACAUUAGAACUACAGGAACACAGAACAUUAGAACUACAGGAACACAGAACAUUAGACUACAGUAACACAGAACAUUAGAACUAUAG
This is a long non-coding RNA of Oncorhynchus tshawytscha (Chinook salmon), 1421 nucleotides long. The record is from Ensembl. Lineage: Eukaryota; Metazoa; Chordata; Actinopteri; Salmoniformes; Salmonidae.